Molecule: ribosomal RNA, 834 nt
Filed under: Escherichia coli
Lineage: Bacteria; Pseudomonadati; Pseudomonadota; Gammaproteobacteria; Enterobacterales; Enterobacteriaceae
Description: bacterial LSU rRNA
Rfam family: Bacterial large subunit ribosomal RNA
Source: RNAcentral
UAAGCGUACACGGUGGAUGCCCUGGCAGUCAGAGGCGAUGAAGGACGUGCUAAUCUGCGAUAAGCGUCGGUAAGGUGAUAUGAACCGUUAUAACCGGCGAUUUCCGAAUGGGGAAACCCAGUGUGUUUCGACACACUAUCAUUAACCGAAUCCAUAGGUUAAUGAGGCGAACCGGGGGAACUGAAACAUCUAAGUACCCCGAGGAAAAGAAAUCAACCGAGAUUCCCCAAGUAGCGGCGAGCGAACGGGGAGCAGCCCAGAGCCUGAAUCAGUGUGUGUGUUAGUGGAAGCGUCUGGAAAGGCGCGCGAUACAGGGUGACAGCCCCGUACACAAAAAUGCACAUAUUGUGAGCUCGAUGAGUAGGGCGGGACACGUGGUAUCCUGUCUGAAUAUGGGGGGACCAUCCUCCAAGGCUAAAUACUCCUGACUGACCGAUAGUGAACCAGUACCGUGAGGGAAAGGCGAAAAGAACCCCGGCGAGGGGAGUGAAAAAGAACCUGAAACCGUGUACGUACAAGCAGUGGGAGCACGCUUAGGCGUGUGACUGCGUACCUUUUGUAUAAUGGGUCAGCGACUUAUAUUCUGUAGCAAGGUUAACCGAAUAGGGGAGCCGAAGGGAAACCGAGUCUUAACUGGGCGUUAAGUUGCAGGGUAUAGACCCGAAACCCGGUGAUCUAGCCAUGGGCAGGUUGAAGGUUGGGUAACACUAACUGGAGGACCGAACCGACUAAUGUUGAAAAAUUAGCGGAUGACUUGUGGCUGGGGGUGAAAGGCCAAUCAAACCGGGAGAUAGCUGGUUCUCCCCGAAAGCUAUUUAGGUAGCGCCUCGUGAA